Molecule: long non-coding RNA, 214 nt
Filed under: Elaeis guineensis (African oil palm)
Lineage: Eukaryota; Viridiplantae; Streptophyta; Magnoliopsida; Arecales; Arecaceae
Description: long non-coding RNA (EGUI_LNC001751)
Source: RNAcentral
GAGGCACGUCGGAAGAAUAAGCUAGAGGAGAUCACCAACCACAGAUUCGAACAGCUCAUGCAUGUGAGUUCUUCUUUUUUUAUUUCUCUUUUUGUUUUCUUUUCACUUCGAUGAAUAAUCGACCUGAAUCUAAACCUUUGUCUUACAGGUCACUGUUGACUUUAAGAUUAUGUAUGAGAACAUGGCUUACCUGUUAAAGAAUAAAGAGGCCAUG